CCAAAUCCUUCCCACUAGCUGCAGCAGCAAUCAAGUUGGCUUUAAUCUGCUUGCGCAAUCCAUUUCUCCUAUCAACUAUGUCCGAAUCAUCACCUCCAGUAAAUAAAGAUAGAUAUUUCUCAGUCUUGGGGAAAAACCUAACAUAUUCAAGAUCUUCUUUCAACUUAGAAAGCUGCUCAGUAAUCUCUGCAUCCUGUGCCUGACCAGAUGAAGCACGUUGUAGUUUCUCCAGACGCCUAAUUCUUCUUUCUAUUUUUCUUCUUUCAAAAAAUUUUAUUUUCCUAUCUCGCAGGAAUAUUUUGCGUUCCAAAGCCAGCCUUGAAUGAAUCUCCUGUUGCUUCUUAAGCCCUUCUAACUUUUUUUCUUGAGCCUCUCUGACUUCAGGAGGAAGUUCCUUGCGGAGCAUGCGCUCUGUGGAGCGAAUCUGGUUCUUAAGAGAAACGGACUUGGGCUUUGGCUUCUUCUCUACGCCUAUUCCCUUGGAUCGCCGCCCCAGAUGAGGCUUCCGUUCGGCGACCCUGCGCUUCCCGUAGCCACCAUGGGCCAUCGGCUUUCCUCAAUUCACUAUUAGCUGCUUUCCGUAGCUUAGCACCAGAUAGAGAUAAAAAAGAU
RNAcentral lists this unclassified non-coding RNA (612 nucleotides) under Hevea brasiliensis (rubber tree). Lineage: Eukaryota; Viridiplantae; Streptophyta; Magnoliopsida; Malpighiales; Euphorbiaceae. The record is from RNAcentral.